GGUAGGCAUGUCUAGUAUAAGCACUUUAUACUGUGAAACUGCGAAUGGCUCAUUAAAUCAGUUAUCGUUUAUUUGAUAGUACCUUACUACAUGGAUACCUGUGGUAAUUCUAGAGCUAAUACAUGCUAAAAACCCCGACUUCGGAAGGGGUGUAUUUAUUAGAUAAAAAACCAAUGCCCUUCGGGGCUCCUUGGUGAUUCAUAAUAACUUAACGAAUCGCAUGGCCUUGCGCCGGCGAUGGUUCAUUCAAAUUUCUGCCCUAUCAACUUUCGAUGGUAGGAUAGUGGCCUACCAUGGUGGCAACGGGUAACGGGGAAUUAGGGUUCGAUUCCGGACAGGGAGCCUGAGAAACGGCUACCACAUCCAAGGAAGGCAACAAGAAA
RNAcentral lists this ribosomal RNA (383 nucleotides) under Aspergillus terreus. RNAcentral's name for it is "SSU rRNA". It matches the Rfam family "Eukaryotic small subunit ribosomal RNA", at positions 53 to 429 of the family's 1831-position model. Lineage: Eukaryota; Fungi; Ascomycota; Eurotiomycetes; Eurotiales; Aspergillaceae. The record is from RNAcentral.